Molecule: non-coding RNA, 77 nt
Organism: Podarcis lilfordi (Lilford's wall lizard)
Lineage: Eukaryota; Metazoa; Chordata; Lepidosauria; Squamata; Lacertidae
Source: the annotation of a GenBank genome assembly
AAGCUCAUUGAGCAGCACUUCCCAAGUGACCAACAAACGGUUGUUGGGAACUUGGGAAGUGCUGUGCAAGGGCCUUU